RNAcentral lists this microRNA (21 nucleotides) under Gallus gallus (chicken). RNAcentral describes it as "gga-miR-7444-5p". Lineage: Eukaryota; Metazoa; Chordata; Aves; Galliformes; Phasianidae. The record is from miRBase by way of RNAcentral.
GUAAGGCUCCUUCUGACCUCC